RNAcentral lists this non-coding RNA (28 nucleotides) under Homo sapiens (human). Lineage: Eukaryota; Metazoa; Chordata; Mammalia; Primates; Hominidae. The record is from RNAcentral.
UAAGAUGAGGUGUCAGAAUGGGUGGCAU